AGCGAACGCUGGCGGCAGGCCUAACACAUGCAAGUCGGGCGGCCGUAGCAAUACGGCAGCGGCAGACGGGAGAGUAACACGUGGGAACGCGCCCUUCGGUUCGGGAUAACUCAGGGAAACUUGAGCUAAUACCGGAUACGCCCUUACGGGGAAAGAUUUAUUGCCGAAGGAACGGCCCGCGUCCGAUUGGCUUGUUGGUGAGGUAACGGCUCACCAAGGCGACGAUCGGUAGCUGGUCUGAGAGGAUGACCAGCCUCACUGGGACUGAGACACGGCCAAGGCUCCGACGGGAGGCAGCAGUGGGGAAUAUUGGACAAUGGGCGCAAGCCUGAUGCAGCCAUGCCGCGUGGGUGAUGAAGGCCCUAGGGUUGUAAAGCCCUUUCAGCGGGGAAGAUAAUGACGGUACCCGCAGAAGAAGCCCCGGCUAACUUCGUGCCAGCCGCCGCGGUAA
Molecule: ribosomal RNA, 451 nt
Filed under: uncultured bacterium
Lineage: Bacteria
Description: partial 16S ribosomal RNA
Rfam family: Bacterial small subunit ribosomal RNA
Source: RNAcentral